GACGAACGCUGGCGGCGUGCUUAACACAUGCAAGUCGAACGGUAAGGCCCUUCGGGGUACACGAGUGGCGAACGGGUGAGUAACACGUGGGUGAUCUGCCCUGCACUUCGGGAUAAGCCUGGGAAACUGGGUCUAAUACGGGAUAGGACCCGGGGAUGCAUGUCCUGGGGGGGAAAGCUUUUGCGGUGUGGGAUGGGCCCGCGGCCUAUCAGCUUGUUGGUGGGGUGAUGGCCUACCAAGGCGACGACGGGUAGCCGGCCUGAGAGGGUGACCGGCCACACUGGGACUGAGAUACGGCCCAGACUCCUACGGGAGGCAGCAGUGGGGAAUAUUGCACAAUGGGCGCAAGCCUGAUGCAGCGACGCCGCGUGAGGGAUGACGGCCUUCGGGUUGUAACCUCUUUCAGCACCGACGAAGCGCAAGUGACGGUAGGUGCAGAAGAAGGACCGGCCAACUACGUGCCAGCCGCCGCAGUAA
RNAcentral lists this ribosomal RNA (477 nucleotides) under uncultured bacterium. Its description in RNAcentral is "partial 16S ribosomal RNA". It matches the Rfam family "Bacterial small subunit ribosomal RNA", at positions 28 to 523 of the family's 1533-position model. The record is from RNAcentral.